AAUUAACUACUAAAGGUAAUAAAACAAAAAAAAACCCAUAUAUAAUGGCGGUCUUAGUAUUAUUAAAGAAACUCGCUCUAUAAUCGACAACACCCGAUAAAUCUAACUUACAUUUCAAAGUUUAUAUACCGCCGUUAACUAGAAUAUAAAAAACAAUAAUAUUCAUUAAAUUACACACAAAUAAAAAAUCAGGUCAAGGUGUAACCAAUAAGUAAGAAAAAGUAAGUUACAUUAAAAACAAUUUUUAAAGGAAAGAUACAUUAAAAUAGAUCCAGAAAAAGAAUUUAUAGGUACAAUUAAAUUAAUAAUUUAAAUAGAAUCUAAUAAACAUAGACGU
RNAcentral lists this ribosomal RNA (337 nucleotides) under Spermophora cf. tonkoui DNA100446429. RNAcentral's name for it is "partial 12S ribosomal RNA". Lineage: Eukaryota; Metazoa; Arthropoda; Arachnida; Araneae; Pholcidae. The record is from RNAcentral.